Xenia sp. Carnegie-2017 is the source of this 743-nucleotide RNA transcript. RefSeq lists it as uncharacterized. Lineage: Eukaryota; Metazoa; Cnidaria; Anthozoa; Malacalcyonacea; Xeniidae. The record is from RefSeq and is a predicted model, not a curated record. The transcript is spliced from 5 exons.
UGUACAUAUUGAUAUUGUUUCUCAUGAAAAGUCAUUGGAAGUGGUUAUAUGUAGGACUGCUUUCACUAGAAAUAACUAAAAAAUUUUGAAGUAAUUUAAAGAAGGCAUGCAUUAUUUAAACACUUAUUAAAAGUCUGUACACAUUUUAAAUUAAAUAAUGGUCUUUAUUUGUAGGACUCUGAAGAUAUCUUUACCAAGCAAUCUAUCUCUAUUAUUACAGAGGAACCCAAACAACCAUGUCAACAUAGUCAAAGUCAUUUGUCACCCACUGGCCACUAUACUGGGCUAUUGUUACAGUUUGACUUUGCAUCAAAUGUAUCAUGUCAGCAAUCCUUUGUUGUUCAUGAUUAUAAUGCAAACAAAAGAACAAUUAUGCAUAAUUCAUUUGUAUUUGUACAUCGAUAUCCCCACCUAUUGCUUGAUGGCUAUGGUUGGAUAUUGUGCUGCUCAUGUGAUGCAAAUAGAAAGCAAUUUGUUGAUGCCCUACCUAAUAAUAUACAAUUAGAUCCUCAAAAAGAUAUACCAUAUCCGAGUUGCAUACACAUAUUAGCAAUGGAAAAAAUAUCUGGUUGUGUAUGAUAGAAAGUUUGGUAUUGAAGCCAAAGAUUUUAUUGAAAAAAAAAUCCACAUCCAUGAUGCAGUCUGUUUUCAGUGAUCAUUCCUACCAUGAGAUGCAACCUGAAGAAGUAUAUUUUGUUAUGUGAAAAUAACUUUUUUGUACAAAUACACGUAUUGUUUCUCAA